This 253-nucleotide ribosomal RNA is filed under the name uncultured bacterium. RNAcentral describes it as "partial 16S ribosomal RNA". It matches the Rfam family "Bacterial small subunit ribosomal RNA", at positions 524 to 776 of the family's 1533-position model. The record is from RNAcentral.
UACGGAGGGCGCAAGCGUUGUUCGGAAUCACUGGGCGUAAAGCGCGUGUAGGCGGUCCGGCAAGUCGGCUGUGAAAGCCCGAGGCUCAACCUCGGAACUGCAGCCGAAACUGCCGGGCUCGAGUCCCGGAGAGGGUGGCGGAAUUUCCGGUGUAGAGGUGAAAUUCGUAGAUAUCGGAAGGAACACCAGAGGCGAAGGCGGCCACCUGGACGGUGACUGACGCUGAGACGCGAAAGCGUGGGGAGCAAACAGG